Molecule: long non-coding RNA, 550 nt
Organism: Juglans regia (Persian walnut)
Lineage: Eukaryota; Viridiplantae; Streptophyta; Magnoliopsida; Fagales; Juglandaceae
Exons: 2
Source: RefSeq, a predicted model, not a curated record
CCCCCUCGCGAGCCCUCUUUAGUCUCCCCCAACCUCCAGCGAAGCCCUCGAAGCCUGCUUUCUCCCCCACCCCCCGAUUGAUUACAGGUUUGGAUGGCAUCGCGAAGAGAGUGGCUUCUUCUUCUCUAUGAUUUCGACUGCACGAGAAGCAAAUUCUUCAUUGGGCACAUAUACUUCAAUCGGUACUACUUGAGAAAAUCCUGACAAGAGUGAAUGAACUUCGGAAGAGAGGGAGGGGAUGCUUUAUUGCUACGUGAGUAUGAAGCUCCAAAACAAAAGGACAAACUAAAAGAGAGAGAAUGAGCUUCACAAGCAAGAGGACGAACUUCGAAGAAGGAUCGUAGAGAAUAUGGGUGUACGCAUAUUGUUGUGUCGAUACUGGAUCGUAUCUCUUGUAAUAGUUUUCGGUUGGUUCAGACUGUAGAUGUAUCAUGUGAGUUUUAAGUGUAAAUAGACUGAUCGGAUCCUAACAUGUAUGGUAUAUUCUCUACAAAUAUAAUUAUGACAGCUUAUUAUGGAUAUUAAGUUGACUUUUCUGUUGUUUAUUCAA